RNAcentral lists this long non-coding RNA (213 nucleotides) under Elaeis guineensis (African oil palm). RNAcentral's name for it is "long non-coding RNA (EGUI_LNC012836)". The record is from RNAcentral. Lineage: Eukaryota; Viridiplantae; Streptophyta; Magnoliopsida; Arecales; Arecaceae.
UCUCAGUAUUAAAUAUAUUUCGACUUUCCACUAUAAAAGCUGAUCAUAGUCGAAAGACUAUCAUGCCGACUUAGUCCUAACUAAGCGGACCAUUAUGCUAAUACGAUCAAGGUCGGAUUGAAAUUGUACCGACUUGGCUACAGCCAAUCGAAGGAUAUUUGACUUGCUACCGAUUAUCAAAUGACUUGACGUAUAAAUCCGACUAAACGUCAG